GCUGCCGCCAACUCGUUUGCGAUGAGCACUACGGAUCGGCCCUCUCAAGGCUGAAACAGGGGUUCGAUUCCCCUAGGGAGCGCCA
Molecule: transfer RNA, 85 nt
Filed under: Bradyrhizobium sp.
Lineage: Bacteria; Pseudomonadati; Pseudomonadota; Alphaproteobacteria; Hyphomicrobiales; Nitrobacteraceae
Description: tRNA-Glu
Source: RNAcentral